GACGAACGCUGGCGGCGUGCUUAACACAUGCAAGUCGAACGGAAAGGCCCUGCUUGCAGGGUACUCGAGUGGCGAACGGGUGAGUAACACGUGGGUGAUCUGCCCUGCACUUCGGGAUAAGCCUGGGAAACUGUGUCUAAUACCGGAUAGGAGCCAUUUUUAGUGUGAUGGUUGGAAAGUUUUUUCGGUGUAGGAUGAGCUCGCGGCCUAUCAGCUUGUUGGUGGGGUAAUGGCCUACCAAGGCGGCGAUGGGUAGCCGGCCUGAGAGGGUGGACGGCCACGUUGGGACUGAGAGAAGGCCCAGACUCCUACGGGAGGCAGCAGUGGGGAAGAUUGCACAAUGGGCGCAAGCCUGAUGCAGCGACGCCGCGGGGGGGAUGACGGCCUUCGGGUUGUAAACUCCUUUCGCUAGGGACGAAGCUUUUUGUGACGGUACCUAGAUAAGAAGCACCGGCUAACUACGUG
RNAcentral lists this ribosomal RNA (465 nucleotides) under uncultured bacterium. Its description in RNAcentral is "partial 16S ribosomal RNA". It matches the Rfam family "Bacterial small subunit ribosomal RNA", at positions 28 to 507 of the family's 1533-position model. The record is from RNAcentral.